Molecule: ribosomal RNA, 1355 nt
Filed under: Australapatemon sp. S.IN.Oxj.DWR9.1.2
Lineage: Eukaryota; Metazoa; Platyhelminthes; Trematoda; Diplostomida; Strigeidae
Description: SSU rRNA
Rfam family: Eukaryotic small subunit ribosomal RNA
Source: RNAcentral
GGAUACUGUAGUAAUUCUAGAGCUAAUACAUGCCACUAUGCCCUGACCCGCAGGGAACGGGUGGAUUUAUUAGAACAGAACCAACCGGGAGCGACUUGUCGUUCCUGUUGCACUCUGUGAUGACUCUGGAUAACUUUACUGAUCGCAGUCGGCCUUGUGUCGGCGACGGAUCUUUCAAAUGUCUGCCCUAUCAACUUUCGAUGGUAGGUGAUCUGCCUACCAUGGUGAUAACGGGUAACGGGGAAUCAGGGUUCGAUUCCGGAGAGGGAGCCUGAGAAACGGCUACCACAUCCAAGGAAGGCAGCAGGCGCGAAAAUUACCCACUCCCGGCACGGGGAGGUAGUGACGAAAAAUACGAAUACGGGACUCACUCGAGGCUCCGUAAUUCGAAUGAGUACAAUCUAAAUCCUUUAACGAGGACCAAUUGGAGGGCAAGUCUGGUGCCAGCAGCCGCGGUAACUCCAGCUCCAAAAGCGUAUAUUAAAGUUGCUGCAGUUAAAAAGCUCGUAGUUGGAUCUGGGUCGCGCGUUCACGUGUCGUUACGUGGUUCUGACUUCGGUUAGUUCUGUGUGAUGAUGAGGUGGUCGCGCAGCCUUUCAGCCGUGUCUGCGUGAGCAGGUGUUGGCUGGUCGGUGGGCUUGCUCGCUGGCUAGUUGGCAUGUUUCCUGAUGCCUUUAAACGGGUGUCGGGGGCGUACGGCACUUUUACUUUGAACAAAUUUGAGUGCUCAAAGCAGGCCCAUGUGCCUGAAAAGUCUUGCAUGGAAUAAUGGAAUAGGACUUCGGUUCUAUUUUGUUGGUUUCCGGAUCCGAAGUAAUGGUUAAGAGGAACAGACGGGGGCAUUUGUAUGGCGGCGUGAGAGGUGAAAUUCUAUGAUCGUCGCCAGACAAACUACAGCGAAAGCAUUUGCCAAGAAUGUUUUCAUUGAUCAGGAGCGAAAGUCAGAGGUUCGAAGACGAUCAGAUACCGUCCUAGUUCUGACCAUAAACGAUGCCAACUGACGAUCCGCGAUGGUGAUCUCAUCCACCCCGCGGGCAGUCCCCGGGAAACCCUUAAGUCUUUGGGCUCCGGGGGAAGUAUGGUUGCAAAGCUGAAACUUAAAGGAAUUGACGGAAGGGCACCACCAGGAGUGGAGCCUGCGGCUUAAUUCGACUCAACACGGGAAAACUCACCCGGCCCGGACACUGUGAGGAUUGACAGAUUGAUAGCUCUUUCAUGAUUCGGUGGUUGGUGGUGCAUGGCCGUUCUUAGUUGGUGGAGCGAUUUGUCUGGUUAAUUCCGAUAACGAACGAGACUUUGACCUACUAAUUAGUAUGCCUAUCCUCUGUGCUCGUGCAGGUCUCGGUUGCAGUUGC